CCUACGGGAGGCAACAGUGGGGAAUAUUGGACAAUGGGCGAAAGCCUGAUCCAGCAACGCCGCGUGAGGGAUGACGGCCUUCGGGUUGUAAACCUCUUUCAGCGGGGACGAAGCGAAAGUGACGGUACCCGCAGAAGAAGCACCGGCCAACUACGUGCCAGCAGCCGCGGUAAUACGUAGGGUGCGAGCGUUGUCCGGAAUUAUUGGGCGUAAAGGGCUCGUAGGCGGUUUGUCACGUCGGGAGUGAAAACUCAGGGCUCAACCCUGAGCCUGCUUCCGAUACGGGCAGACUAGAGGUAUGCAGGGGAGAACGGAAUUCCUGGUGUAGCGGUGAAAUGCGCAGAUAUCAGGAGGAACACCGGUGGCGAAGGCGGUUCUCUGGGCAUUACCUGACGCUGAGGAGCGAAAGUGUGGGGAGCGAACAGGAUUAGAUACCCCGGUAGUC
Molecule: ribosomal RNA, 445 nt
Filed under: uncultured bacterium
Lineage: Bacteria
Description: bacterial SSU rRNA
Rfam family: Bacterial small subunit ribosomal RNA
Source: RNAcentral